RNAcentral lists this ribosomal RNA (137 nucleotides) under Rhinoleucophenga bivisualis. RNAcentral describes it as "partial 28S ribosomal RNA". Lineage: Eukaryota; Metazoa; Arthropoda; Insecta; Diptera; Drosophilidae. The record is from RNAcentral.
ACGUCAGAACUGUUUCGGNCUUCCAUCAGGGUUUCCNCUGACUUCAACCUGAUCAAGUAUAGUUCACCAUCUUUCGGGUCACAGCAUAUAUGCUCAAGGUACGUUCCAGUUAGAGGUUAUAAAUAAUAAAUAUAAAU